GCGCCCGUAGCUCAGCGGAUUAGAGCAUCUGACUACGAAUCAGAAGGUCGGGGAUUCGAAUUCCUCCGGGCGCACCA
Molecule: transfer RNA, 77 nt
Filed under: Anaerolineales bacterium
Lineage: Bacteria; Bacillati; Chloroflexota; Anaerolineae; Anaerolineales
Also listed under: 2 other names
Description: tRNA-Arg
Rfam family: tRNA
About the family: Transfer RNA (tRNA) molecules are approximately 80 nucleotides in length. Their secondary structure includes four short double-helical elements and three loops (D, anti-codon, and T loops).
Source: RNAcentral